ACUGCGGCUUGGUUGCCUAAGAGGAGUGGCCUUAGAGGAGAGGUGAAAGGCAAGGGCGGGAAGAAUUGAGGGAGCGGGGGAGGGAAAAGAAGAAAUACUCGGUCACCAUGGUAACUUCCACUUGCUGGCAGCGUCCUUUGAGUUUGUUGCUGGAGCUGUCCUCACUGCCAACAGGUGCCGUCCUGUAAUGUAGUCACAGACGGGGAAAGCGAGACUCAGAGAUAGAGGGGAAACGACUAGUAGGAGAACUUACCGUUAGUCAACGCUCAGGCCACAUCUGAUGCCGGGCCUGGCCGCGGAUUGCCCAGGGAAGAGGAGAAGCCUGGAGUUCCGGGGACCCCUCCCAUUCUCCAUCUUUAGAGUAUUUAAAAAAAAAUAGCCAUUUUUCUUUUCUAAACUUUGGAAAAAAACACCAAAUAAAACAAGCGUUUUCACGUAUAUUGUAAGAGAUAAUUACAGAAGAAAUUGAAGCUAUUGUAUAGCCACACUACCUUUGUUUCUGAAUUUCCUUCUCUCUCCUACACAUAAGAAUAAAAACUCUUCAGAAAUUGAAUUUACCACCUCAGGACCCAAAUGAGUCUUCUUCUUGGGAGGUCUUCAAGCAAAUGUUGGUCAAUGUGUGUUCUUUCUCUGGGUGUAGCUGCUUCUGUCCAUCUUUGAUCAAUUAAAGCUCUCUUUAUCGAAGAGAUCCACUUCCAUCAAAAUAUGAAGGCCUCUCUUUGCAUUGACUCCAAUGAUGCCAUGCUAUGUCAACUAUGCCAAGGAGCCUCUGUCCACUGGAAUACUCUUUCCAGUGCCAUCCUCUCUUUGUCCUCAUUUAUUUCCCUAACCAGACUUUAUUUCUAACCUUACUUCCAAUCCCCAUAAUAAACCCUUUUUAUCAA
Antechinus flavipes (yellow-footed antechinus) is the source of this 884-nucleotide long non-coding RNA. RefSeq lists it as uncharacterized. NCBI's taxonomy places the organism in Eukaryota, Metazoa, Chordata, Mammalia, Dasyuromorphia, Dasyuridae. The transcript is spliced from 2 exons. The record is from RefSeq and is a predicted model, not a curated record.